RNAcentral lists this ribosomal RNA (253 nucleotides) under uncultured bacterium. Its description in RNAcentral is "partial 16S ribosomal RNA". It matches the Rfam family "Bacterial small subunit ribosomal RNA", at positions 524 to 776 of the family's 1533-position model. The record is from RNAcentral.
UACGGGGGGAGCAAGCGUUGUUCGGAUUUACUGGGCGUAAAGGGCGCGUAGGCGGCGUAACAAGUCACUUGUGAAAUCUCCGGGCUUAACCCGGAGCGGCCAAGUGAUACUGUUGUGCUAGAGUGCGGAAGGGGCUACUGGAAUUCUCGGUGUAGCGGUGAAAUGCGUAGAUAUCAGGAGGAACACCGAUGGCGAAGGCAGGUCUCUGGGCAUUAACUGACGCUGAGGAGCGAAAGCAUGGGGAGCGAACAGG